This 460-nucleotide ribosomal RNA is filed under the name uncultured bacterium. Its description in RNAcentral is "partial 16S ribosomal RNA". It matches the Rfam family "Bacterial small subunit ribosomal RNA", at positions 338 to 795 of the family's 1533-position model. The record is from RNAcentral.
CCUACGGGCGGCAGCAGUGAGGAAUAUUGGUCAAUGGACGAGAGUCUGAACCAGCCAAGUAGCGUGAAGGAUGACUGCCCUAUGGGUUGUAAACUUCUUUUAUAUGGGAAUAAAACGUUCCACGUGUGGGAUUUUGUAUGUACCAUAUGAAUAAGGAUCGGCUAACUCCGUGCCAGCAGCCGCGGUAAUACGGAGGAUCCGAGCGUUAUCCGGAUUUAUUGGGUUUAAAGGGAGCGUAGGUGGAUUGUUAAGUCAGUUGUGAAAGUUUGCGGCUCAACCGUAAAAUUGCAGUUGAAACUGGCAGUCUUGAGUACAGUAGAGGUGGGCGGAAUUCGUGGUGUAGCGGUGAAAUGCUUAGAUAUCACGAAGAACUCAGAUUGCGAAGGCAGUUCACUGGACUGCAACUGACACUGAGGCUCGAAAGUGUGGGUAUCAAACAGGAUUAGAUACCCUAGUAGUC